UUGCAUAUCAAUAAGCGGAGGAAAAGAAACUAACAAGGAUUCCCCUAGUAACGGCGAGUGAAGCGGGAAGAGCUCAAAUUUGAAAUCUGGUGGCCUCAGGUCAUCCGAGUUGUAAUCUAUAGAAGUGUUUUCCGUGCUGGCUCAUGUACAAGUCCCUUGGAACAGGGCGUCAUAGAGGGUGAGAAUCCCGUCCUUGACAUGAACUACCAGUGCUCUGUGAUACAUUUUCAACGAGUCGAGUUGUUUGGGAAUGCAGCUCAAAAUGGGUGGUAAAUUCCAUCUAAAGCUAAAUAUUGGCGAGAGACCGAUAGCGAACAAGUACCGUGAGGGAAAGAUGAAAAGCACUUUGGAAAGAGAGUUAAACAGUAUGUGAAAUUGUUGAAAGGGAAACGAUUGAAGUCAGUCGUGCUCUUUGGAUUCAGCCGGUUCUGCCGGUGUACUUCCUUUGAGUGGGGUCAACAUCAGUUUUGAUCGCUGGAUAAAGGCUGGAGGAACGUAGUACCCUCGGGUAAACUUAUAGCCUCCUGUCACAUACAGUGGUUGGGACUGAGGAACGCAGCACGCCUUUAUGGCCGGGAUUCGUCCACGUACGUGCUUAGGAUGUUGACAUAAUGGCUUUAAACGACCCGUCUUGAAACACGGACC
RNAcentral lists this ribosomal RNA (645 nucleotides) under Filobasidium floriforme. RNAcentral describes it as "LSU rRNA". It matches the Rfam family "Eukaryotic large subunit ribosomal RNA", at positions 36 to 667 of the family's 3401-position model. Lineage: Eukaryota; Fungi; Basidiomycota; Tremellomycetes; Filobasidiales; Filobasidiaceae. The record is from RNAcentral.